UACAGAGGUCUCGAGCGUUAGGCGGAAUCACUGGGCUUAAAGCGUGUGUAGGCGGAUCGUUAAGUGCCUUGUGAAAUCCCACGGCUCAACCGUGGAACUGCUUGGCAUACUGGCGGUCUUGAGCAACCUAGGGGCGAGCGGAACAAAUGGUGGAGCGGUGAAAUGUGUAGAUAUCAUUUGGAACGCCAAUGGUGAAAACAGCUCGCUGGGGGUUUGCUGACGCUGAGACACGAAAGCCAGGGGAGCAAACGGG
This 253-nucleotide ribosomal RNA is filed under the name uncultured bacterium. Its description in RNAcentral is "partial 16S ribosomal RNA". It matches the Rfam family "Bacterial small subunit ribosomal RNA", at positions 524 to 776 of the family's 1533-position model. The record is from RNAcentral.